This 501-nucleotide ribosomal RNA is filed under the name uncultured bacterium. Its description in RNAcentral is "partial 16S ribosomal RNA". It matches the Rfam family "Bacterial small subunit ribosomal RNA", at positions 30 to 523 of the family's 1533-position model. The record is from RNAcentral.
AUUGAACGCUGGCGGCAGGCUUAACACAUGCAAGUCGAGCGGGGGAAGGUAGCUUGCUACCGGACCUAGCGGCGGACGGGUGAGUAAUGCUUAGGAAUCUGCCUAUUAGUGGGGGACAACAUCUCGAAAGGGAUGCUAAUACCGCAUACGUCCUACGGGAGAAAGCAGGGGAUCUUCGGACCUUGCGCUAAUAGAUGAGCCUAAGUCGGAUUAGCUAGAUGGUGGGGUAAAGGCCUACCAAGGCGACGAUCUGUAGCGGGUCUGAGAGGAUGAUCCGCCACACUGGGACGGGGACACGGCCCAGACUCCUACGGGAAGGAGCAGUGGGGAAUAUUGGAAAAUGGGGGGAACCCUGAUCCAGCCAUGCCGGGUGUGUGAAGAAGGCCUUAUGGUUGUAAAGCACUUUAAGCGAGGAGGAGGCUACUUUAGUUAAUACCUAGAGAUAGUGGACGUUACUCGCAGAAUAAGCACCGGCUAACUCUGUGCCAGCAGCCGCCGUAA